Molecule: ribosomal RNA, 207 nt
Filed under: uncultured bacterium
Lineage: Bacteria
Description: partial 16S ribosomal RNA
Rfam family: Bacterial small subunit ribosomal RNA
Source: RNAcentral
CGUGUAGGCGGACCUUCAAGUCGGGUGUGAAAACUGGCGGCUCAACUGCCAGCCUGCACUCGAUACUGUUGGUCUUGAGUACAGGAGAGGAAAGCGGAAUUCCAGGUGUAGCGGUGAAAUGCGUAGAUAUCUGGAAGAACACCAGUAGCGAAGGCGGCUUUCUGGACUGAUACUGACGCUAAAGCGCGAAGGCUUGGGUAGCAAACA